CUCCCUCUCGCCCCACCUCUGUGUGAGCGACCCAGUGAAAGAUGAGCCCUUGAGGCACAUUCCCUAGUAGAUUUAAAUGACAAAUCUAGAAAGAAGCGGUUUAAAUAUUUAUGAAGAGGCGGAGAGGUGUAGAGUGUCUUCCGGAAACGCUUCUGAUUGGCUGGUGUUUUCAAGCAAGUGUUAGCUUUAUGAAAUGAGUGAGUACCCCCAGAUCAAUUCAAUGAUUAUGUUUCGUGCUUCGGUUUUUCUUCUUCCAAAAGCGCCACACCAUAUACAUCUAUUUAUUUUCUCAGUAAUUGGUUGCAUGUGUGGUCCGAGGGGCUCACUUUUGUCACAUUUUCACUCUCAAUAUAUUUUGUUUUUUGUAAAUCAUGUCUUAUUUUCAUCAAUUUUAAAAUGCAAAGAUCUGGGACAGAUGGAAACAAUUAGAACCUCCGCUCUGCUGAUGUGUAUAAUCUUAUUAGUUUAAUGGGUCACAGGGUGCAGGACCUAUUUCCUAUAGAUCAAAGUGAAAACAAACACGGUUAAUAUCCCAUUUUGUUUUAGAACCACAUCGGAUCGGGUUCCCUCUCUGGGCCGUGGUAAUGACAAUAUUAAGAGAGCUUGGGUUGCCUUGAAGUUUAGAGGGAAAAUUGAGUCAUGAAGCAUUUUGGUUUAAAAAUGCAUUGAUAUUAACACCAGGUAGCCGGUUGCCAGGUCCCUGAGCUCUCUUGCGUUUAUCACAACAGCAUGGCUUUUUAAAGGAUUUCAGUAAUGCUCGUUUUGAUCUUUUGCCUUAAAGCAAGUGAAAAAUCAUGCUUAUUUGGUUGUUAAUUAUACCAGUUCUCAGGUUUCCUCUAUUCAGGCUCAGUGCAAAACUUCCGAGCCCUUGGUGUAAUUUUCAACUAUGACUUCUUAAUGAUUUUUUUUCUUCAUCUGUGGAUAGUAGUCACAGACUCUUUUCAGAAUUUAAUUUAAAAAAAAAAGUUAAGGAGCCACAUGACCGCCACCCAAAAUGCAGCAUUUCAUUUCAGGGAGUUCCUGACCGCCUAAGGCCACUCCAUAGACUCCUAAAUAUCUGUGAACUCCGGUAUCAGAACCCACACCUUAAGGAAAUGUCUUUCAUAUUUUGAGUUGUGUUCGGUUGUGUUAUUCCGAGGCCAAAAUAUAAUCUUCUAAGCACCUACGGGGUUGGACCAGAGCCUCUCUCUUCGUGACAAAGACCCCCUUUGGAAACCUCCCGCAGCAACUUCUCACCCCAAUAAAUUAAAUGCAGCCGCAGUGUGGUCCAUUACACUGGAGUGUGAGGUGACGGCCCCUGUCAAAGGUGAACGGCCCAGUACAGCCCCUUAAAUAUUCCUACAGAUAAUAAAUAUCUGUGUAAGGAAGGGAUGUAAAAGUUUCCUAUUCGUUUGGAAAGCUCGGUACUACAACAAUGAAUAAACAUUGCAGACUGAUGAAUGCCCCCAAGUCCCUCCACAGAGGCGGCGGGGAGAGAACCAGAUCUUAAAAAAUUUUUCACUCUAGGCCUGGAGGCCGGGUGCUGCGGCCACCCGUGCCUCGACGUGUUCCUCCGCACGGGCUCUAGGAAUGUAAAUACCACGAGUUGAGACAGGUCUGGGCCCCGGACAGAGCGGUCCGUGGUUUUAGCAAUUCAUUUUAAUUCCGAAGCGGUCCAGUGCAUUUGCUUUCACUUGGUUGCGCGGGGCUGGAAUUGAUAAGAGAGAAAACCAUGUACUUGUCCUUGUGGGUUGGGAAACAGGGUCACUGAAUCCUGGGCUGGCUCUCACAGCUUCCUGGCAGAGUUCACACACGCACUCAGAGGCUGCGCCAGCCCUGUACCGCAGGACUGCGGGCGCUCCCUUGCCGGCACUCCUCCUUCGGUUCAGAAACCAAAGUGGAAACGCAUGGAUCAAGUUGCAGGGAAGUCUGACAUCUGGGACAGAUGUUGCUCCUCUGCCCGUGGCGGUUCCUCAGAUAAAUCCUCAUUGCUUUAUUUUAAUUUGCCUUUGAAUUUCGUUAUUUUUGCCUCAAUGCAACACAUAGUCUUUUUUUUUUCUGCUUUAUUUAACUCUCACGGUCCUCUGCGCUAUUUUUAUCAAUGGUAUAACUUUAUUUUGGGAAAGGGAUUAUUUCCCCCUCAGAAAUGGGGGGAAAUAAUCAAAUCUCCAGUCAAUUAUGUCUUGAAAUUUAACUCUGCUUUUACUGGUCCAUCAUAAAACAUUUAAACCGUUAAAAACAUGUCCCUCACUGAUCAACUUUAGUUGUUUUGUGUUUUAAAACAUGGAAAUACAACCCCUGUGUGUGUAUGUCACAUUACGGACAGACCAUAUUAAUCUCUUUCUCACAGAAAAAACAUCUGCGUGUGUGAGUCUAAGUAAUUAUUCAUCUAGGGUAACAAAUUCUAGAAGGCUUGACCUACCUUCCUUCCUCCCUUCCUUCCUCCCUUCCUUCCUUCUUUCCUUCCUUCCUUCCUUUUUCUUUUCCUUUCUCUUUUUCUUUUUUUGUGCUUCUUUGUAUCUAAUACCCAGGGGCAUUAACAACAUCUCCUCUGCCUCGUCUUCCCGUGUGUAGAGGGACCCGUCUCACGUCCAACAAUAGAUACCCCUUUUAUUAUAUAUUUUUCCUUUUGUUUUUCUUGACCAACAAUUUCCCUUCAGUUAUUUAUUUUAGCUGGGUAACCCCAAGCUAUAUGCUCCGUGUAAACCAGAAUGGUGUGGUCGGUUUUGUGACAGGUAGUGGCUUCCUGAGCUGGCUCUGAUGCGCACCUCUGAGGCGAGCCAAGGCGGAAACUGUCAUUCCUAGAGGAAAGCGAUGCCCGUCUGGGAAGAAUCUGGGAAACCCCAGCAUUCCUAUGAGCUGCGGCCCACUAAGCGCCCCUGACCGCAGUGAUCACUGUCUCCUAGAUUUUUUGACAAUGUUGUUUUGCUUUGUUUUAAAAUAUUAUCGUUACUGCUGAGAAACGUGGACUCUUAUGAUGAAGACCUGCCGGGCCUUCCCCAGCCAUUUCACUCCCUGGCCUCCUCCAAGAUGGCUUUCAUUUAGGGAGGGUCAGACUCAUCUAGGUGACAUUUCCCCGAGCCUUUCAGUCAAGUUGGUCUACAAAUUCACCAAAUUAGUGCUUGGUCUACAUCUAGGGCUUCCUGCACGGAAAGGCCAAUAGAAAAGUCCACGACUUGACUUUUACGCCACAUCACUACAGCCACAAAACGGGGACCUCCUCGGGACUGGAGGCGGAUCCUCCACGGGUCCCCGGCCAGGCCCAUCCUCCUCGCAGCGCGCCUGGUGCGGCCGUACCAAUUCCGCGCCGUGCAGCCUGGAGUUACAGGCCCCGACCGAGCCAAGAUCUGAGGCUGCCGGGCCCUCCCUGUUUACUGGGGGCUCUGCUACCGGAAGUCAUUUGACAAAUCUCAGGCAGGCCUUUCUAAUCUUUACUGCUCGGCAGAGCUUUGCAAAUCUCUAAACACGCUGUAACCUUCUUCAAACAGCACGCCAGACACACUUGAAGGUUUUUUUUUUUUUUUUGAGGCCGGACGGAAUGGAAACUGCAUCUGCACGGGAUCUCUCCACAGUCUGGCCCGCAACACUGCCAGCACCUUCCCUAGACCCUCGCCUCCCCGCUUCCCCCGCACGCGGAUUCUCGCGCAUCCGUGCGCCCACUCAGCCCCGGGAGCCCUCCUGCCCCGGGAAGCCUCAGACGGUCUUGGGCUGGAGACUCACCCUGCGCCCCUGCAGCGGGCUGCGGGGAGAGAACCUUGGGGAACCAGGCAGGACCGGCAAGGGUGGACCGAGUGAUUUAUGACCCUGAUCAAACUUUUUAGGAAGCAGAAAUUAACCUGAGGGAGAUUAGGCCUGAGCUUUGAAGUUCACGGUUUUGUUUUCCUUCAGCCCAGUUCUGCCAUCAGAUGGUUCUUGGUUCCUUCUACCCCUCUCCUCCUCCCCCUCCUUCGGUCUCUCGUCACCCCACUUUAUCCUCCAGCAACCCCUCCUGCGUUGAUUUUCUUAAUUUCAAAUACAAAUAUCUGAACACCAGAAACUGAAGUUCCUGACAGUGACCUAUUGAACAGAGGCAUCGCAUACUCCCUACAUCCCAGUCUUCUUGGAAUUGCGUUUUACGUUUGAAAGUGCGAUUUUGGUUUGGAGGUCGGGAGUAGAAAAUUUGUAUCUGUUCUUUUCUUUUGCUGUUUCCUACUUGCCUUUCAAUACCCAUACUUAUUCCGCCCUCGGAGACUGGCCCUUCCCGGCAGAGCAGAAGCGCACGAGGGUUGAGUAACUCUGCAGGUGAGAGCUAAUUUUUCAGCGCAUCCACCAGAUACCUCAGGUUUGUGGAUUUUCCCCCUAGUUGGCCAGAAAACUCACACCCAAACAUGCAAGUCCUCUAUGGCCUCUCCGUCCUCUUACCUUGGCCCUCUUUAUUUCCAUAUCUCCCUCCUCCCCAUGCAGAUCUCUAAAGGGAAUCUGUCUCCUGCGGUUCUUUCCCGCAGGCGCCUGCUGAAAAGGCAAUUUCCUUGGGGGUGUGCCUAGGGAGAGAGGAAAACAGAAACCAGGAUUGUUUGGGGGCCUGAAACCAUCCAAAUUUUAUUGCAUCCGCUACAAAGUCAACUAACUCUUAAUGAGCAUCCAAGCGGAAAAAGGCCGAAGUUUACUCCGUGUUAGGGCGGGGAAUGGGGGUGGGGGUGAUGGGAGUUUGCUUAUUUCCUUCUGGUACAACCAAAGGUUGCAACACCUUCCUGAGAGGCUCCUCCCAACGCCAAGAGUACGGACGCGAAAGUCAGAAGGCAUCGGGUUUCAGCCCCCUGAAUGAUCCAAGAUCACUCCGCCACGAAGACCUUCGAAGUUGGCCCUGUCUACAGCUUGUAAUUAAAAGGAUAAUGUGUCUUGUAAUAAAAAACAAGACCCACACAAACAAACCCAGCGUCCAACGGCCCUCCACCUCGCCACACUCUUCUCUAAUAAGGGCCAGUGACAAACAUUGCCAUCCAGUUUAACCCAAAAGGAGGAAGCAGUAGAUCUUCCUUUUAAUAACUUCCCAAAGUGUUACAAAUAAUAAAAAGGACGCAUAAAUCAUCGCGGGGGCGGCAGAACGGGGACGACAGAAGGAUUUACUCCUCUCUAGCCCUGGCUUCCAACCGCGCUCUCAUUGGCUACUUCCUUGUGGCCCGCCCCCGAAUCCGCUCUCUUAUUGGUGCGUCUGGUCCCAGACGCAGAGACAGGGCGUAGGAUCGGUGGGGGCUGGAGUCCACCAGUGCGCAUGCGCGCUAUGGCGCGCAUGUAUGAUUGACAGCAGGGAGAGGUGUUUGUGCGCGCGCGCGUGCGUGCGUGCGUGUGUGUGUGUGUGUGUGUGUGUGUGUGUGUGUGUGUGUCUCUCUCAGGGUUGAGGCAGCGAAGGUGGUGGUGGCGGGGCGACGGUGAAAGUGGUGGCUGUGAGUGCUGGAGCUGAGGCCGCUUUUGCCGCCGCGGUGAGGUGUAGUCCUGUUUGCCGGCGUUUUCCGCUGAGUCAGAAGCGCUGGUGGUCACAGACUGCGCUCUCACCCACACUGAGGUCGAUCUGGAAGGAAUUUACUGAGGGGGCUCUCCAGCAGCUGGCUAACCGGGAAGGAAGUAGAACUAGAAGACAUGCUUUACUCUUCCUGAAGAAGAUACUUAAGCCCCUCAAGAAGAGAUUUAAUUUGAGCGCUGUGUUGAUUUGUGCAUUCCUUGUAAAGCACACACUAAAUUAGCUUCACAUCCCAGCCGUACCUUCAUCUGCAGCACACAUCUCUCCCCCAGCUCCUCUCAGCACUCACUUAGCCCUGUUCAGUUCCCCUGUAGGCACAGGUACACAUAUAUCAGCCUCUUGUAAUCAUGAAGACGAGGGACGAACUUACAAAGACACCCGGCACACUGUGACAAUCCUUAACUGGGAGAAAAAAAAAAGAGAGAGAGAAAGCAAAGAAAGGUAGAAUAAGAGCAAGAAAAAAAGAAAAGGAAAGAAAACUAGAAAGAUGCAGCAACCAGUAAAACGAUGGUGGCAAAGAUAAAAUGCCGAUGGAAAAAAUCCGUUAAAUGCAAAGUUUGAAAAAAACUUCCUAACUCGGUUAAUGCUGUGGAAAUAAUUCCAGUUCAUCUCAGUGCUAGUGAACGCCUAGUACAAAAUUCUUCAGAGGCGAGGGCUGGCUUAGUGCAGAGGAGAAACGUCGCUCCGUUGCCCUGUUGCAUCCAAAUUCUCCUUUCAGACAAGUUUCCGCGGCGUGAUGGAGAUGGGCAGAAGUCUGGAGAGUGCUUUCCUAUUAUAAGCUGUUAACUUGUUGGUUUGUACUCACAUAUAUUUUAAAGAAAUAAUAAACAUCUUAUAGUUCUGCACAUAUUCUAAAUUACAGUGGUUCUAGAAGAAUUUUGUAACUGACAAAUUAGAGCUUCGGUUUUACGAAUUCUGAAUUUUAAAACCGGUAAUGACUUCUCAGUCCCUGAGAUCCUCUUCUUUGUUUUUUUAUUUUGGGGUGUGUGGGUACGUGUAAGAUGAGAAAUGUACAAACACAAGUAUUUCAGAAACUCCAAGUAAUAUUCUGUCUGUGAGUUCACGGUAAAUAAAUAAAAAGGGCAAAGUGACAGAAAUACAGGAUUAUUAAAAGCAAAAUAAUGUUCUUUGAAAUCCCCCCCUUGGUGUAUUUUUUAUCUUAGGAUGCAGCACUUUCAGCAUGCCCAAGUAUUGAAAGCAGUGUUUUUACGCUACC
RNAcentral lists this long non-coding RNA (6692 nucleotides) under Homo sapiens (human). Its description in RNAcentral is "non-protein coding lnc-HNRNPA2B1-13:2". Lineage: Eukaryota; Metazoa; Chordata; Mammalia; Primates; Hominidae. The record is from RNAcentral.